This 148-nucleotide non-coding RNA is filed under the name Triticum aestivum (bread wheat). Lineage: Eukaryota; Viridiplantae; Streptophyta; Magnoliopsida; Poales; Poaceae. The record is from RNAcentral.
CUCGCCGAGCUCAGUUGCGUGAGCUUGUAACCCGAGUGGGCCUAUGCGAAAGCUGGGCCUCACGGUCCAUAAUUUGGCAGGCACAGCGUGAGGCUGACUUCACAGAGCAGCGACAACUGCCCGCUUCCAACGGUGGAAGGAUAACGGG